This 153-nucleotide non-coding RNA is filed under the name Parabacteroides distasonis. Lineage: Bacteria; Pseudomonadati; Bacteroidota; Bacteroidia; Bacteroidales; Tannerellaceae. The record is from RNAcentral.
CGGGAGGCGGAUUAAAAGGGAACCGGGUGAGAAUCCCGGACAGACCACGCUGCUGUGAACUUCUAAACAUUCGGACAAUACCUUGGCCACUGGUUUCGUAAUCGGGAAGGCGUCCAGAAUGGAAGUAAGUCAGAAGACCUGCCGGUUCAUAAA